AGCAGUAGCCGCGGUAAUGCGAAGGGGGCUAGCGUUGCUCGGAAUUACUGGGCAUAAAGGGAGCGUAGGCGGAUGUUUAAGUCAGAGGUGAAAGCCCAGGGCUCAACCUUGGAACUGCCUUUGAUACUGGACAUCUUGAGUAUGGGAGAGGUAAGCGGAACUCCGAGUGUAGAGGUGGAAUUCGUAGAUAUUCGGAAGAACACCAGUGGCGAAGGCGGCUUACUGGCCCAUUACUGACGCUGAGGCUCGAAAGCGUGGGGAGCAAACAGGAUUAGAUACCCGCGUAGUCCCUGUCUCUUAUAC
RNAcentral lists this ribosomal RNA (303 nucleotides) under uncultured bacterium. RNAcentral describes it as "partial 16S ribosomal RNA". It matches the Rfam family "Bacterial small subunit ribosomal RNA", at positions 507 to 807 of the family's 1533-position model. The record is from RNAcentral.